This 45-nucleotide non-coding RNA is filed under the name Schistosoma margrebowiei. Lineage: Eukaryota; Metazoa; Platyhelminthes; Trematoda; Strigeidida; Schistosomatidae. The record is from RNAcentral.
AUCUAGCUGACGAGUCCUAAUUAGGAUGAAACGCGUGUCCUGGAU